RNAcentral lists this ribosomal RNA (253 nucleotides) under uncultured Eubacteriales bacterium. RNAcentral's name for it is "uncultured Clostridiales bacterium partial 16S ribosomal RNA". It matches the Rfam family "Bacterial small subunit ribosomal RNA", at positions 524 to 776 of the family's 1533-position model. Lineage: Bacteria; Bacillati; Bacillota; Clostridia; Eubacteriales. The record is from RNAcentral.
UACGUAGGGGGCAGGCGUUAUCCGGAUUUACUGGGUGUAAAGGGAGCGCAGGCGGUAUGGCAAGUCAGAUGUGAAAACCCAGGGCCCAACCCCGGGACUGCAUUGGAAACUGGCAUGCUGGAGUGCCGGAGGGGCAAGCGGAAUUCCUAGUGUAGCGGUGAAAUGCGUAGAUAUUAGGAGGAACACCAGUGGCGAAGGCGGCUCUCUGGUCUGUAACUGACGCUGAGGCUCGAAAGCAUGGGUAGCGAACAGG